UCCUUAAUUAAUCAUAAUUUUAUUAGUAAAAUUAUUUGUUUAAAUUAAUGUAAAUAUAUCUUAUUUGUAUUAAUAAUAGAGCUUUUUUAAAAGCACUCGACUUAAAAGUUUUAGACCGUUUAUCAAAAACAUCCCUUAAAAUUUAAGUAGCCCCUGCCCAGUGAAAAAGUUAAACGGCCCUUUAGCUAAGGUAGCAUAAUAAUUUGCUUUUUAAAUAAAAGAUGGAAUGAACGGGGUAACUAAAAACAAUUUUUUAAAAAAUUAAUUGAAUUUAUUUUUAAUUGAAAAGAAUUAAAUAAAUUUUAAAGACGAUAAGACCCUAUGAAGCUUUAAUAAUUUUAAUAAAUAAAAAUAUUUAUGUUAUUUUAUUUGGGGUAAAACUUAAUGUUAUUAUUAAUUAAUAAGUAAAAUGCUGAUCUUUUUGAAUUUUAAGAAAUAGCUACUCUAGGGAUAACAGCAUAAUCUAAAUUAAAGUUCUUAUUAAAAUUUAGGUUUGUGACCUCGAUGUUGAAUUAAGAAUUUAGUUAGGUGCAGAAGCUUAAUUAAAUUGGUCUGUUCGACCAAUAUUUCUUACAUGAUUUGAGUUUAGAUCGACGUAAGUCAGAUUAGUUUCUAUCUUAAAAUCAUUAAUAAAGUUUUA
This 640-nucleotide ribosomal RNA is filed under the name Pseudodiaptomus annandalei. RNAcentral describes it as "partial 16S ribosomal RNA". The stretch from base 450 to 607 matches the Rfam family "Archaeal large subunit ribosomal RNA", at positions 2542 to 2701 of the family's 2987-position model. Lineage: Eukaryota; Metazoa; Arthropoda; Copepoda; Calanoida; Pseudodiaptomidae. The record is from RNAcentral.